CGUAGGUGGUUUGGUCAGUCAGAUGUGAAAGCCCUGGCUUAACCUGGGAAUUGCAUUUGAUACUGCCAGACUAGAGUAUGGUAGAGGGAAGUGGAAUUCCGGGUGUAGCGGUGAAAUGCGUAGAUAUCCGGAGGAACAUCAGUGGCGAAGGCGGCUUCCUGGACCAAUACUGACACUGAGGUGCGAAAGCGUGGGUAGCAAACA
This 204-nucleotide ribosomal RNA is filed under the name uncultured bacterium. RNAcentral describes it as "partial 16S ribosomal RNA". It matches the Rfam family "Bacterial small subunit ribosomal RNA", at positions 570 to 774 of the family's 1533-position model. The record is from RNAcentral.